RNAcentral lists this ribosomal RNA (2904 nucleotides) under Escherichia coli. Its description in RNAcentral is "23S ribosomal RNA". It matches the Rfam family "Bacterial large subunit ribosomal RNA". The record is from RNAcentral. Lineage: Bacteria; Pseudomonadati; Pseudomonadota; Gammaproteobacteria; Enterobacterales; Enterobacteriaceae.
UUAAGCGACUAAGCGUACACGGUGGAUGCCCUGGCAGUCAGAGGCGAUGAAGGACGUGCUAAUCUGCGAUAAGCGUCGGUAAGGUGAUAUGAACCGUUAUAACCGGCGAUUUCCGAAUGGGGAAACCCAGUGUGUUUCGACACACUAUCAUUAACUGAAUCCAUAGGUUAAUGAGGCGAACCGGGGGAACUGAAACAUCUAAGUACCCCGAGGAAAAGAAAUCAACCGAGAUUCCCCCAGUAGCGGCGAGCGAACGGGGAGCAGCCCAGAGCCUGAAUCAGUGUGUGUGUUAGUGGAAGCGUCUGGAAAGGCGCGCGAUACAGGGUGACAGCCCCGUACACAAAAAUGCACAUGUUGUGAGCUCGAUGAGUAGGGCGGGACACGUGGUAUCCUGUCUGAAUAUGGGGGGACCAUCCUCCAAGGCUAAAUACUCCUGACUGACCGAUAGUGAACCAGUACCGUGAGGGAAAGGCGAAAAGAACCCCGGCGAGGGGAGUGAAAAAGAACCUGAAACCGUGUACGUACAAGCAGUGGGAGCACGCUUAGGCGUGUGACUGCGUACCUUUUGUAUAAUGGGUCAGCGACUUAUAUUCUGUAGCAAGGUUAACCGAAUAGGGGAGCCGAAGGGAAACCGAGUCUUAACUGGGCGUUAAGUUGCAGGGUAUAGACCCGAAACCCGGUGAUCUAGCCAUGGGCAGGUUGAAGGUUGGGUAACACUAACUGGAGGACCGAACCGACUAAUGUUGAAAAAUUAGCGGAUGACUUGUGGCUGGGGGUGAAAGGCCAAUCAAACCGGGAGAUAGCUGGUUCUCCCCGAAAGCUAUUUAGGUAGCGCCUCGUGAAUUCAUCUCCGGGGGUAGAGCACUGUUUCGGCAAGGGGGUCAUCCCGACUUACCAACCCGAUGCAAACUGCGAAUACCGGAGAAUGUUAUCACGGGAGACACACGGCGGGUGCUAACGUCCGUCGUGAAGAGGGAAACAACCCAGACCGCCAGCUAAGGUCCCAAAGUCAUGGUUAAGUGGGAAACGAUGUGGGAAGGCCCAGACAGCCAGGAUGUUGGCUUAGAAGCAGCCAUCAUUUAAAGAAAGCGUAAUAGCUCACUGGUCGAGUCGGCCUGCGCGGAAGAUGUAACGGGGCUAAACCAUGCACCGAAGCUGCGGCAGCGACGCUGAUGCGUUGUUGGGUAGGGGAGCGUUCUGUAAGCCUGCGAAGGUGUGCUGUGAGGCAUGCUGGAGGUAUCAGAAGUGCGAAUGCUGACAUAAGUAACGAUAAAGCGGGUGAAAAGCCCGCUCGCCGGAAGACCAAGGGUUCCUGUCCAACGUUAAUCGGGGCAGGGUGAGUCGACCCCUAAGGCGAGGCCGAAAGGCGUAGUCGAUGGGAAACAGGUUAAUAUUCCUGUACUUGGUGUUACUGCGAAGGGGGGACGGAGAAGGCUAUGUUGGCCGGGCGACGGUUGUCCCGGUUUAAGCGUGUAGGCUGGUUUUCCAGGCAAAUCCGGAAAAUCAAGGCUGAGGCGUGAUGACGAGGCACUACGGUGCUGAAGCAACAAAUGCCCUGCUUCCAGGAAAAGCCUCUAAGCAUCAGGUAACAUCAAAUCGUACCCCAAACCGACACAGGUGGUCAGGUAGAGAAUACCAAGGCGCUUGAGAGAACUCGGGUGAAGGAACUAGGCAAAAUGGUGCCGUAACUUCGGGAGAAGGCACGCUGAUAUGUAGGUGAAGUCCCUCGCGGAUGGAGCUGAAAUCAGUCGAAGAUACCAGCUGGCUGCAACUGUUUAUUAAAAACACAGCACUGUGCAAACACGAAAGUGGACGUAUACGGUGUGACGCCUGCCCGGUGCCGGAAGGUUAAUUGAUGGGGUUAGCCGCAAGGCGAAGCUCUUGAUCGAAGCCCCGGUAAACGGCGGCCGUAACUAUAACGGUCCUAAGGUAGCGAAAUUCCUUGUCGGGUAAGUUCCGACCUGCACGAAUGGCGUAAUGAUGGCCAGGCUGUCUCCACCCGAGACUCAGUGAAAUUGAACUCGCUGUGAAGAUGCAGUGUACCCGCGGCAAGACGGAAAGACCCCGUGAACCUUUACUAUAGCUUGACACUGAACAUUGAGCCUUGAUGUGUAGGAUAGGUGGGAGGCUUUGAAGUGUGGACGCCAGUCUGCAUGGAGCCGACCUUGAAAUACCACCCUUUAAUGUUUGAUGUUCUAACGUUGACCCGUAAUCCGGGUUGCGGACAGUGUCUGGUGGGUAGUUUGACUGGGGCGGUCUCCUCCUAAAGAGUAACGGAGGAGCACGAAGGUUGGCUAAUCCUGGUCGGACAUCAGGAGGUUAGUGCAAUGGCAUAAGCCAGCUUGACUGCGAGCGUGACGGCGCGAGCAGGUGCGAAAGCAGGUCAUAGUGAUCCGGUGGUUCUGAAUGGAAGGGCCAUCGCUCAACGGAUAAAAGGUACUCCGGGGAUAACAGGCUGAUACCGCCCAAGAGUUCAUAUCGACGGCGGUGUUUGGCACCUCGAUGUCGGCUCAUCACAUCCUGGGGCUGAAGUAGGUCCCAAGGGUAUGGCUGUUCGCCAUUUAAAGUGGUACGCGAGCUGGGUUUAGAACGUCGUGAGACAGUUCGGUCCCUAUCUGCCGUGGGCGCUGGAGAACUGAGGGGGGCUGCUCCUAGUACGAGAGGACCGGAGUGGACGCAUCACUGGUGUUCGGGUUGUCAUGCCAAUGGCACUGCCCGGUAGCUAAAUGCGGAAGAGAUAAGUGCUGAAAGCAUCUAAGCACGAAACUUGCCCCGAGAUGAGUUCUCCCUGACUCCUUGAGAGUCCUGAAGGAACGUUGAAGACGACGACGUUGAUAGGCCGGGUGUGUAAGCGCAGCGAUGCGUUGAGCUAACCGGUACUAAUGAACCGUGAGGCUUAACCUU